Molecule: non-coding RNA, 560 nt
Organism: Delphinapterus leucas (beluga whale)
Lineage: Eukaryota; Metazoa; Chordata; Mammalia; Artiodactyla; Monodontidae
Source: RefSeq, a predicted model, not a curated record
ACGAGUUAACAAUUUUUAACACAUGCUCAUUUUUAUUUCUGUAUGAGAGUCGUGAUUUUUACCUUUUUUGGGAAAAUUAUCCUUCAACACUUCCUACUGCUGUCAAGUAACUCAGUCUGGUAUUCCAGGUUCCAGAUUUUACUGCAUUUUUGUGGAAAACCUCCAAAAUGGUUAAAAGAGGGGGAAAAGUGAAAUUAUGAUUCACGAAACAGAGUCAGGUUAACUUUUUCAGCAGAGAAGUGCAUUUCAUGGUGGCUGAAGCCCUGGCAACUCCAAGAGGAACUCUAUGUCAGAAAUUGGCUUUAUUGGAGACAUUCAGAGCCUGAUUGGAACUAUUUUCAAGGCCUUCUUCUUUCCUAAGCUAAAAUGGAACUAUGUACUCAGAGGGCUAUUUGGAAAUACACCGGCAAGAAUAAGGCUUCUUCACAAAUAUUAGUAACUUGAUCCAUCUGCCAGAAACACACUUUGGAUCCAAAUUUUUUUUUUCUUCAAUAAUGAGUUUAAAAUUCUUGUACCUGUCUCAUGGCUAAAAUUUAAAAAUAAAAGUUAUAAGAUCUCUG